GAACGCUGCGGCGUGCUUAAUACAUGCAAGUCGAACGAAGCACCUCUCCCGUUGAUUGACCUAGCUUGCUAGAGAUUGAACAAUUGAGGUGACUGAGUGGCGGACGGGUGAGUAACGCGUGGGUAACCUGCCUUGUACAGGGGGAUAACAGUUGGAAACGACUGCUAAUACCGCAUAAGCGCACAGUAUCGCAUGAUACAGUGUGAAAAACUCCGGUGGUACAAGAUGGACCCGCGUCUGAUUAGCUAGUUGGAGGGGUAACGGCCCACCAAGGCAACGAUCAGUAGCCGACUUGAGAGAGUGAUCGGCCACAUUGGGACUGAGACACGGCCCAGACUCCUACGGGAGGCAGCAGUGGGGAAUUUUCCGCAAUGGGCGAAAGCCUGACGGAGCAAUGCCGCGUGGAGGUGGAAGGCCUACGGGUCGUCAACUUCUUUUCUCGGAGAAGAAACAAUGACGGUAUCUGAGGAAUAAGCAUCGGCUAACUCUGUG
Molecule: ribosomal RNA, 492 nt
Filed under: uncultured Lachnospiraceae bacterium
Lineage: Bacteria; Bacillati; Bacillota; Clostridia; Lachnospirales; Lachnospiraceae
Description: bacterial SSU rRNA
Rfam family: Bacterial small subunit ribosomal RNA
Source: RNAcentral